CACUUUAACAAAUCUUGCAGCCGCACACUCUUUGGGUCCGCCCGUUUCUCUAAUCAAGUUGUAACACUCGCUGCUGUGGUCCACAGCUUCAUUCCUUGAAGCCCGUGAGACACGAACGCUUCCAUUGAGAAAAACCUUCCAUCAGAAGAAGACUUCUCGUCUCAGUGGGACUGCUGAGUUGAAUGGCCCUAUACAUCAAAAGGUGAAGCUGGGUCAUGAAGGUCAUGAAGGCCCUCAGUGUGCAGCCUCUGUAAACCUGCUAAAACUAUUCUAUGAAAAUGAACAGGACUAUUCUUCCUCAAACAAAGAGAUCGUGUGAUGAAGACUCACCAGAGCUGUUCUCUAUAAGCUUGAAGAGCAAUGGUAUCAGUGAAUUGCCUUUUCAUUUAUUAUCUUGUUUCUCAAGUGGGAUAUAAGUGUCAUGGGGAGGAUCUGAAAAUGGACUCCAUAGAAAGAGACUCUGAGAUGAAAGACACAAAACUGAGAACAUGCUUGAUGAAGAAACACUUGAUGAAGUCUUUCAAAAGUCAGGAACAAGAAAUAGACACAAUGAACACUAGUAACAAACAUCAGACAGCAGGUGCUUUUUUUUCUGAAGCUUUGGUAGUGUAACUGUAAGAGUCCUGGAAUUGGAAAAGCAAAUCCAGAAGUUGAGUUCCAUGACUUUUUUGCUGUUUGCCUUUGGACUUGCAUCAUUUAUAUUUUUAAUUCAUCGAGGAUGAGAAAAUUGAUUAACACAAAAUCUUUUCAUGUCUUUUCUGAUGAGAGACUAGCUGAAUCCAAGAAGAGAAGCCCUUGAAGAGUGUAUUCUAUUCUAGACAAGCAUUCACACAUUGGCUUCUUUGGUGCCAGAGCUAGUUAAUGAGAUUGUUGCUGCCUUCAGAUUCUAUAAAGGACUUCUCCAAUAUUGGAUUAAAGAAUGAAGAAAGGAUCAAAUUGAGACAUCCAGGGGGGAAGAGUUCCCUGGCAAAACUCCAAUCUGCCUGAGCACUGAGGUGGAGCCACAGAAGUCCGGGUCAUUUGCACCUGGGAGGAGCCUGGCCCCUCCUCUUCCUGUGUGGAAUCUGGGAUUUAAUCUGUGAGGAGGGAAGGCCAAGGGCAGGAAGCACAGGCUCUCACUUCACUAAGAGUCUCUGUUUCCCCUUUUUUUCCUUUAUGCCUAAUUAAUAAAUCCCAUUUUUCUCACUCUUCAAA
This 1194-nucleotide long non-coding RNA is filed under the name Homo sapiens (human). RNAcentral describes it as "long intergenic non-protein coding RNA 2328". The record is from RNAcentral. Lineage: Eukaryota; Metazoa; Chordata; Mammalia; Primates; Hominidae.